RNAcentral lists this ribosomal RNA (1272 nucleotides) under Blattabacterium punctulatus. RNAcentral's name for it is "bacterial SSU rRNA". It matches the Rfam family "Bacterial small subunit ribosomal RNA", at positions 56 to 1316 of the family's 1533-position model. Lineage: Bacteria; Pseudomonadati; Bacteroidota; Flavobacteriia; Flavobacteriales; Blattabacteriaceae. The record is from RNAcentral.
UGCAAGUCGAGGGGCAGCAUGAAAUUUAUUUAUUUAGAUUUUGAUGGCGACCGGCGGACGGGUGCGUAACACGUAUGUAACCUACCUUUUUCUAGAAAAUAGCCUGAGGAAACUCGGAUUAAUGUUCUAUAAUACAGUAUUUUCGCAUGAAAAUAUUAUUAAAGCAGAAAUGCGGAAAAAGAUGGGCAUGCGCCCGAUUAGUUAGUUGGUGGGGUAAAAGCCUACCAAGACGAUGAUCGGUAGGGGGCCUGAGAGGGUGAUCCCCCACACUGGUACUGAGAUACGGACCAGACUCCUACGGGAGGCAGCAGUGAGGAAUAUUGGUCAAUGGAGGAAACUCUGAACCAGCCACGCCGCGUGCAGGAAGAAUGCCUUAUGGGUUGUAAACUGCUUUUGUUUAGGAAUAAAAAUUUCUACGUGAUAGAAAUUCUGAAGGUACUAGACGAAUAAGUGUCGGCAAACUCCGUGCCAGCAGCCGCGGUAAUACGGAGGACACAAGCGUUAUCCGGAUUUAUUGGGUUUAAAGAGUGCGUAGGCGGUUUAUUAAGUCAGUAGUGAAAUGUUACAGCUUAACUGUUAAAAUGGCUAAUGAUACUGAUAGACUUGAGUUAGAUUGGAGUAACUGGAAUGUGUGGUGUAGCGGUGAAAUGCAUAGAGAUCACACAGAACACCGAUCGCGAAAGCAGGUUACUAAAUUUAUACUGACGCUGAGGCACGAAAGCGUGGGGAGCAAACAGGAUUAGAUACCCUGGUAGUCCACGCCGUAAACGAUGAUCACUAGUCGUUGGAUUUUAUUAUUCAGUGGCUAAGCGAAAGUGAUAAGUGAUCCACCUGGGGAGUACGACCGCAAGGUUGAAACUCAAAGGAAUUGACGGGGGCCCGCACAAGCGGUGGAGCAUGUGGUUUAAUUCGAUGAUACGCGAGGAACCUUACCAAGGUUUAAAUGUACUACGAAUAAGCUAGAAAUAGUUUAGUCUUCGGACGGAGUACAAGAUGCUGCAUGGUUGUCGUCAGCUCGUGCCGUGAGGUGUUGGGUUAAGUCCCUCAACGAGCGCAACCCUCAUUGUUAGUUGCCAACGAAUAAUGUCGGGGACUCUAGCAAGACUGCCGACGUAAGUCGAGAGGAAGGUGGGGACGACGUCAAAUCAUCACGGCUCUUAUAUCUUGGGCUACACACGUGCUACAAUGGUCGGUACAAAGGGUUGCUACUGAGCAAUCAGAAGCUAAUCUCUAAAAACCGAUCUCACUUCGGAUUGGAGUCUGCAACUCGAC